UGGGGAAUUUUGGACAAUGGGCGAAAGCCUGAUCAGCAACGCCACGUGUGGGAAGAAGGCCUGAGGGUUGUAAACCACUUUUGCAGGGGAAGAAACACCCGCAGGGAUUGUGGGUACCGUGGGAAUAAGCCCCGGCUAAAUCUCCGCCAAAAGCCCCGGUAAUUAA
This 166-nucleotide ribosomal RNA is filed under the name uncultured bacterium. RNAcentral describes it as "partial 16S ribosomal RNA". It matches the Rfam family "Bacterial small subunit ribosomal RNA", at positions 355 to 527 of the family's 1533-position model. The record is from RNAcentral.